Molecule: non-coding RNA, 24 nt
Filed under: Arabidopsis thaliana (thale cress)
Lineage: Eukaryota; Viridiplantae; Streptophyta; Magnoliopsida; Brassicales; Brassicaceae
Source: RNAcentral
UACAGGCGGCCUGAUUACCCCCUG